Molecule: ribosomal RNA, 453 nt
Filed under: Triticum aestivum (bread wheat)
Lineage: Eukaryota; Viridiplantae; Streptophyta; Magnoliopsida; Poales; Poaceae
Description: partial small subunit ribosomal RNA
Source: RNAcentral
AUGGUCAGUAUGAAGCUUCCGCCGCAGCCCACGCGCUCGACGAUCACGGCCACGACGAGCGCCGGUACCCACGAGCUGAAGGUGGAGGGCUACUCCGUGACCAAGCUGCUCGUCGCCGGCGAGCACAUCGAGUCCAGCAAAUUCAGGGCCGCGGGCCACGAUUUUCAGAUCUGCUACUACCCGCACAGGUACCAGAAGAAGGACUGCAACGCCAGCAUCUCCUUCUUCCUCAAGAUGGCCGAGGCGGUCGCCUCGAACGUCCGCGUCGAGUUCCGGUUCAGCCUGGUCUCUCGCCACGGCGGUGAGCCUGCACGUUUUGCUGGUCAGCGCCGCGUGGUGACGUUCCCUGACAAGCACGAUGGCGUGGAGUACUGGGGCCUGGAGAUCUCGAAGAAGGAGCUUGAGCAGUCGCCGGAGUACCUGUGGGACGAACUCCUUCGUGCUGCGGUGUGA